Molecule: long non-coding RNA, 825 nt
Organism: Gossypium raimondii (Peruvian cotton)
Lineage: Eukaryota; Viridiplantae; Streptophyta; Magnoliopsida; Malvales; Malvaceae
Exons: 2
Source: RefSeq, a predicted model, not a curated record
AGCUGCAAUCAGAGUGGGAGAAUGUGAGAUGAUUCCUUCAUAUAACCAAUUACAGAAAUAUGUUACUCCUAUUCAGGAUUGAGCACCAGAUAUGGAUAUGAAUCCGACAUACGUAUGUUCCACUUUUUUUUCUCAUGUAUUUCGAAAGAUCAUUGGAAGGGAUCAUUGGAAGGACAUACUCAAAUGUGUCAGACAGAGGGCAUCUGGCACGGGUACUUCAAGAAAAAAAGAAGAGUCCAAAAAAGAGGAACACAGGAGAAGAAAAGCCCAAAUUACCUGGUUGUACUUGGCCAACCUCUCACUUCUACAAGGAGCUCCAGUCUUGAUCUAUACAAAAGAAUAACCACCCUCACCAUCUAGCACUGGAAAAAUUUGAAAAAAAAAAAAAGGCAUUGCUGAUAAAUUGCUAUUUUGGGUUAGUGAUUUCGAAUGAUGUACCUGGCCACUAGCUAAACCAACAGAAAGGUCAGCGAUGAAGUUAUCCUCUGUUUCACCACUUCGGUGGCUGACCAUCACUCCCCAUCCUGCAGCUUUUGAGUCAAGUGCUGCUUGAAUAGAUUCGGUAACUGUUCCAAUCUGGUUAACCUGUCAUAGUAACAAAAAAUGAUGUAUUAGAAAUGGAAAAGAAGGCAUUUUGCACAUUUGAAUAGCAAUCUCAGUAAUCAACCAUGUUAUCUUGUACCAUGCAUGCUCAUUUGAACCCACUGAUCCAUCAAAUGAACCCAAGACAUAGCAUAGUCACAUUGGUGGUUACACAAAAACCUUGGCUGCUAUGAAAUAAAUAGUGCAGCCAAUUUUCUCACAAUGGACAGUUAGAUUCUAUAA